RNAcentral lists this ribosomal RNA (497 nucleotides) under uncultured bacterium. Its description in RNAcentral is "partial 16S ribosomal RNA". It matches the Rfam family "Bacterial small subunit ribosomal RNA", at positions 29 to 507 of the family's 1533-position model. The record is from RNAcentral.
AAUGAACGCUGGCGGCAGGCCUAACACAUGCAAGUCGAGCGGACGCACGAUGAGCUCUCGCUUCUGCCGUUGGCGACGGACGGGUGAGUAAUACGUACAUAACCUUCCUCUUUUUCUUGGGUAAUUACGUGAAACCUCAUCCACUACUGGCUCAUAUGUCGAACGGCUUGGAUCAAUAGAUCUUGAUGUCUUUGCUGAUUCUAUUAGCUGUUUUCGCGCCGGAUUAGCUAGUUGGUAAGGUAAAGGCUUACCAAGGCUACGAUGCGUAGCCGACCUGAGAGGAUGAUCAGCCACACUGGAACUGAGACACGGUCCAGACUCCUACGGGAGGCAGCAGUAGGGAAUAUUCGGCAAUGGGCGAAAGCUUGACGGAGCAACGCCGCGUGAGUGAAGAAGGUCUUCGGAUCGUAAAACUCUGUUAUUGGGGAAGAAAAGAAGUAUAAGUAAAUAUGCACGUCUUGACGGUACCUAAACAAAAAGCAACGGCUAACUUCGUG